CAGCAUCAGUUACCAUAGCGAUUUAGCUAGACUAAAAGGGAGACACUUCUGUGAAAAGGAAACUACGAGUUUAACCUCGACACAGCUUGCUAAGCCAUUCAUCUCAGUUCACCAGAAAGGCCUCCUGGCAUAUAACUCCCCUUCUUCACCCAAAGUCUUUCAAUUUACUCAGGCAGCACUAAGGUGUUGAUUGAAAUUUCAUUGACUCCACACAAAUCCCUGGGCUCUAAUCCUCAUAAUUCUGGCAUAUUGUAUUGUUGUUAACCUCUCACCGCCUGGUAAAUACAAAUCCUUCCACCUUUCACUUUCUAGUCCAUGGAUAAUUGCUGUAACUUCUCCUCAGAAGCAUUCCCAUGGGGAGUACCAAGAAGCACAUGUGAAACAAACACAGUUGUGCUUGUCACUGUGAUACAGAGAUUCAGUAUACUGGAGAUCGCCUGGCAUGGAAAGAAGAGGUCUGCCAUCAUCGACAGAGCAGACACAGUGGCUAAUUAGACCUUUGCAACCUCCCAGUGGUGAAACACUUAAGAGUUGAAAUUCUAAUCUUUAAGGCUAUUCCCUGCUGAAGCCAAAGCUUGUUAUUUAACAAAAUGGAGAUUGCUUACUUACAGCUGGAUCUCUUUGAGUAGAUGCCAUAAUAUAUAUUAUUUUAAUAAAAACAAGGAAAACUGAUCAAUAGAGACAAAAUGUAUGGCCGUAAUCGAAAUGACUUUCCUGUCUGAGUGUUGGUCAAUCCAAUGAGCAUUGUCAAACAAAUCCUUUUUCUGCUGGCAAAUACAAACAGUUGUAGUCAAUCAUGCUCAUUAAUUAGAAGUUAAUAGGCCUUGACCUUAUUAAGUUAAAAGACACCACUUAUUCAAAGAUUUAAGGGAGUGUGUGGAUACAUUUGAGCCUGUAUACUUUUAAAGUUGUGUGGAUUAAAGAAAAUCUAAAAUAAAUUCAAGCUCAUUAAA
This is a long non-coding RNA of Pundamilia nyererei, 953 nucleotides long. RefSeq lists it as uncharacterized. NCBI's taxonomy places the organism in Eukaryota, Metazoa, Chordata, Actinopteri, Cichliformes, Cichlidae. The record is from RefSeq and is a predicted model, not a curated record. The transcript has 2 exons.